Molecule: ribosomal RNA, 788 nt
Filed under: Actinomycetes bacterium
Lineage: Bacteria; Bacillati; Actinomycetota; Actinomycetes
Description: bacterial SSU rRNA
Rfam family: Bacterial small subunit ribosomal RNA
Source: RNAcentral
ACCACUUCGGUGGGGAUUAGUGGCGAACGGGUGAGUAACACGUGGGCAAUCUGCCCUGCACUCUGGGACAAGCCCUGGAAACGGGGUCUAAUACCGGAUACUGACCCUCACGGGCAUCUGUGAGGUUCGAAAGCUCCGGCGGUGCAGGAUGAGCCCGCGGCCUAUCAGCUUGUUGGUGAGGUAAUGGCUCACCAAGGCGACGACGGGUAGCCGGCCUGAGAGGGCGACCGGCCACACUGGGACUGAGACACGGCCCAGACUCCUACGGGAGGCAGCAGUGGGGAAUAUUGCACAAUGGGCGAAAGCCUGAUGCAGCGACGCCGCGUGAGGGAUGACGGCCUUCGGGUUGUAAACCUCUUUCAGCAGGGAAGAAGCGAAAGUGACGGUACCUGCAGAAGAAGCGCCGGCUAACUACGUGCCAGCAGCCGCGGUAAUACGUAGGGCGCGAGCGUUGUCCGGAAUUAUUGGGCGUAAAGAGCUCGUAGGCGGCUUGUCGCGUCGGUUGUGAAAGCCCGGGGCUUAACCCCGGGUCUGCAGUCGAUACGGGCAGGCUAGAGUUCGGUAGGGGAGAUCGGAAUUCCUGGUGUAGCGGUGAAAUGCGCAGAUAUCAGGAGGAACACCGGUGGCGAAGGCGGAUCUCUGGGCCGAUACUGACGCUGAGGAGCGAAAGCGUGGGGAGCGAACAGGAUUAGAUACCCUGGUAGUCCACGCCGUAAACGGUGGGCACUAGGUGUGGGCAACAUUCCACGUUGUCCGUGCCGCAGCUAACGCAUUAAGUGCCCCGCCUG